Molecule: transfer RNA, 75 nt
Filed under: Cronartium comandrae C4
Lineage: Eukaryota; Fungi; Basidiomycota; Pucciniomycetes; Pucciniales; Coleosporiaceae
Description: tRNA-Ala (AGC) (tRNA-Ala-AGC-15-1)
Rfam family: tRNA
About the family: Transfer RNA (tRNA) molecules are approximately 80 nucleotides in length.
Source: RNAcentral
GACUGGAUAGCCUAGUGGUCAAAGGCAGCACUUCUAGCAAUGAUGAGGUCUCAGGUUUGAAGCCUGGUCUAGUCA